AGCGCCGCAGCCUCGGCAGCUGGAGUCGGAGCAGGGGGGGAUGGUUUCAAAAAAUAAUUAAAAAUCGAGGAAAUAUCCUAGAAAAGCCCUUUUGGCGUGAAAACCCCAAAGAAGAGCCAGGCUUCCCGAAACAGAGGUUUCGGGUGCCAGAAAGGUCUGUAUUCCGACCCCUGGGGCUUUGGAUCCCGGGAGGAAACUUGAAGGGGUGAGCGCCGCGGCGGGAGUGUCCGGCUGCGGCCCACAAGGACAGAAACUAGGGAACGCGGUGACGAGCGAGGGGAAAGACGGGAGCAGAGAGCCCUGGAAAGAGGCACGGGGGGCUCCCACCUCUCCUUCAGGGGUGACCCGGUAUCCCCCCUACACACACCCCCUCCCCCCCUUCCUACCCCACCCAAAUCUCCGCACCGAGGAAGCUGGAAAACCAAACUGUGCCCCAGCAGCUCCAGGUCUCGCUGAACCUGUUACUAUGGCAGCGUCUAUGCUUCACUUUUGAGGAUUGCUUCUGCUUUGAAAUAGCCGUGUGGAAGAAAAACUACAAAGUUUUGAGGGGGAAAAAACCCACCUAACUUUAGCUGCCGUUGUGUCUUCAUCUGUAAAAAUCUUCUUCAUGUCUCAUGGAUUUCAACAUGCAGUUUAUCUUGGUUUGUUCCAUAAAACAUCAGAUGCAACUUUAAUGGCCUAACCCCAAAAAGAUAACUUGGCAGCCAUCAAGCAUUCAGCAGCGUUCCAAAUGCCCUCUUGCUGGAGCCAGCCUUCUACGGGGCCAUGUGGAUGUCAGGCACACACAAUUUGAGUCACGCUGACAUAGCUGGGAUGCCUGGAUUGCACUGGAAUCUGGGGGGUACCAAUCACAGGCCAGAGAGAAGCCAUUGGCUGGAAGGAACAAUGCCAGCGUGUUCACCGUCUCUGCAGAAGGAGGGGGUGUUGAUGGUGAGGGGAAUGACAGUUGCAGCCAAAGGAGCAAAAUGACCCCAAAGCAGGGUGGGCACAUGUCAUUGAUGCUGGGCAGAAGCACUCCAGGGGCUCAGGUCAUGACCACACCCCUUUUCUCCUGCCCCACAACCAGAAAAACUAAGAAGGUACAAGAUUUUCCCUAAAACUUAAUGUACAGAAUGCCCUGCUGUCUUCAGGUUUUUGGGAAAUCCAGGGUUGACAACAACAGCCCAAAUAUAUGAAGCACUUACCUCUACCAGGCACUGUCUGUAUCUUACAAAUAAUUCGUUUAAUUCUCACAACUCCUUAAUGAGGUAAGUUUUACAAUUUCCAUUUUAUGAUGAGGGAAACUGAGGCUUAGAAAGAUUAAGAAACUUGCCCAAAUCCUGCAGCCAGAAAUGGGCAGAAUCAAGACAUGAACCACAGUCUCUCAAAAGCCAAAGCCUGGGCACUCACUACUACCCUCAACAGCCCGGUGGCUGGUUCAUGCCAUCUCUGCCACCCUCACACAGCCACCUCUUGGAUGGUAGAACCCUGUGUGUUGAACAAGUAGAGUAACAUUCUAAAAGGAUUCUUUUUCCUCCCCUGUUUUCCUGGGGGCUGAGUAGACAUGUUUAAACAUGCUGUUCAUCUGACACUUGUUUACUUCAGUGGCUAUGAUGUGCAAGACCCCAGACCAGGAACAGUAAGAGGGCAUGAGGAUAACCCAGCGUGGAGACCACUCUGGAGGAGGCUGCAGACUGGAGGCGCUGUUGUAGCCAGCUGCAUUUUGGAGGCUGGGUUGCCUGUCUUAGAUCUCUAAUGAGUUUGGUCAUUAUUUUUUCAGCCAGGGUUUUCUUCCUCCCUCCCUGUCUUCCUUCCCUUUCUCCUUCCUUCCUUCAUUCCUUCCUUCCUUUCUUCCUUCCUUCUUUCCUCCCUCCCUCCCUCCCUCCCUCCCUUCCUUUCUCUCUUUCCUUCUAUCUUUUAUUUUCUCUCUUUCUCUGUCUCUCUCUUUCUCUCUUUCUUCCUCCCUCCCUCCCUUUCUCUCCUUCUUUCUUUCUCCCUCCCUCCUCUCCUCCCUCUCUUGGUCUCUCUCUCUCUCCCUUCCUUCCUUUGUUCUUUCAAGAUUUUUCUUUCUUUCUUUCUUUCUUUUAAAGGUGUAAGCCUUUUUCUGGUUCACUACAUGCCAAGGACUGCGCUAAAUCAUUCACAUAAAACCACCAGCGUGCAUCACCUCAUUUGGUCCUCCCACAGUCUAACGGAAGAAUCUACCAUAAAACCAACAGACUCCUCCUGAUCUCUACCUGUGCUGUCUGCCUCUCUAGUUCCGGACACUGAGAGCUGGUGCCCUGUGGCCACCUCAAGCUGGAACCCUGCAAGAUCACCAAGAAGACUGCAUGCCUCGCUCUAGCCUUCCUAAGGGAAAGUAGACUCCUGUUUUUGAGAGAAAUUACCUGAUUUCAAGAGAAACAUAAAGGACUUUUUUUCCCUUAACAUUCCACUCGUAAAAAUGAAGUUUGGAAGAACUUCUGCAAACUCUGAGUGUUUUGGUCAAUUGACCUUUUACUGUACUAAGCAAAUCUGAAGCCACAAAUACAUUGGGGAGGAAGGUAUACCCUUCACAAAAGAUCCGUCACUUAGCCAGAUACUCUGUUGCCAUGCUUCUUUAAAUAAAGCACAUUUCUGGUAUAUUUUAUUUAUUUAUUUUUAUUUUUUAGAGUUGGGGUCUUGCUCUGUUGCUCAGGCUAGAAUGCAGUGAUAUGAUCAGAGCUUAUUACAGCCUUGAACUCCUGGGCUCAAGUAAUCUGCCUGCCUCAGCCUCACAAUUCAUUGGGAUUACAAGCAUGAGCCACCGUGCCUGGCUCUUUUCCUGGUAUAUUUUAAAUUGUUU
This 2803-nucleotide long non-coding RNA is filed under the name Homo sapiens (human). RNAcentral describes it as "HSALNT0366268". Lineage: Eukaryota; Metazoa; Chordata; Mammalia; Primates; Hominidae. The record is from RNAcentral.